AUCGCGCUGUUUUAGCGAUUGAUACGUGUGUGUAGGUGUAUGGGCGCGUGCCACGUGCGUAGAGAGGUCAGAGAGAGAAGGUGUAUCUACGUUCGAUAAGUGGAUUAGCUUCUGUCUGGAGACUUUUUCGCGGGAAGGACGGUGCGGAAAAUAUUUUUUAAUCUCCCUUCGCGAUGGUUAUUGGAUAUACUCAAUGACUUGGAUGUGAGGUUAUCGAAAGUUCGUGAAUUGGAAAAUGUGGAGGUUUUUACCAAUUAAAGUUUAAACUUUUCUUUGAAGCAGACAAAUAAUAAGAUCUCAUUUGUCGCAAACGUGCAUUUUUGCAAACGAAUUAAGCAUGAAAUGAAAUCUGUUCGCAAUUGAUCCCUUGACGAGUGACACUCGUGUUAUAGGUUAUAGGCCAAAACUGGAAAACAUGAUUGUGACAUGAUUGCGCUUUGCUAUAAAUAUUCUUAUUUAUUUUCUUCGAAUUAUAUGUAGACAAGAUGGCAGACGCCUAUGCAGCACGCGCACUUACCGAGCGCACAAAUUAAAUAAAUCAACUCUGGCUCACGCAACGGCGGGAAAAAUCGUAAGCUGGUUUCCAGUCAGCGUACGUCGCUACAGGAAAACGUACAUAGUAUGGUCUACGACUGCAUCGUAGUACAUCAGUAUUCGUGAUUUGAAAAUACACGUUGGGGUGUAUUUCCGUUCGGCGUACAUCGACGGGGAC
This is a long non-coding RNA of Ooceraea biroi (clonal raider ant), 712 nucleotides long. RefSeq lists it as uncharacterized. NCBI's taxonomy places the organism in Eukaryota, Metazoa, Arthropoda, Insecta, Hymenoptera, Formicidae. The record is from RefSeq and is a predicted model, not a curated record.